GACGAACGCUGGCGGCGUGCUUAACACAUGCAAGUCGAACGGAAAGGCCCUGCUUUUGUGGGGUGCUCGAGUGGCGAACGGGUGAGUAACACGUGAGUAACCUGCCCUUGACUUUGGGAUAACUUCAGGAAACUGGGGCUAAUACCGGAUAGGAGCUCCUGCUGCAUGGUGGGGGUUGGAAAGUUUCGGCGGUUGGGGAUGGACUCGCGGCUUAUCAGCUUGUUGGUGGGGUAGUGGCUUACCAAGGCUUUGACGGGUAGCCGGCCUGAGAGGGUGACCGGCCACAAUGGGACUGAGAUACGGCGCAGUCUCCUACGGGAGGCAGUAGUGGGGAAUAUUGCACAAUGGGCGGAAGCCUGAGGCAGCAACGCCGCGUGCGGGAUGAAGGCCUUCGGGUUGUAAACCGCUUUCGCCUGUGACGAAGCGUGAGUGACGGUAAUGGGUAAAGAAGCACCGGCUAACUACGUG
RNAcentral lists this ribosomal RNA (468 nucleotides) under uncultured bacterium. Its description in RNAcentral is "partial 16S ribosomal RNA". It matches the Rfam family "Bacterial small subunit ribosomal RNA", at positions 28 to 507 of the family's 1533-position model. The record is from RNAcentral.